RNAcentral lists this ribosomal RNA (555 nucleotides) under bacterium Baik21s. RNAcentral's name for it is "bacterial SSU rRNA". It matches the Rfam family "Bacterial small subunit ribosomal RNA", at positions 571 to 1123 of the family's 1533-position model. The record is from RNAcentral.
GCUAGGCGGUUUGUCGCGUCUGCUGUGAAAUCCCGAGGCUCAACCUCGGGCCUGCAGUGGGUACGGGCAGACUAGAGUGCGGUAGGGGAGAUUGGAAUUCCUGGUGUAGCGGUGGAAUGCGCAGAUAUCAGGAGGAACACCGAUGGCGAAGGCAGAUCUCUGGGCCGUAACUGACGCUGAGGAGCGAAAGGGUGGGGAGCAAACAGGCUUAGAUACCCUGGUAGUCCACCCCGUAAACGUUGGGAACUAGUUGUGGGGACCAUUCCACGGUUUCCGUGACGCAGCUAACGCAUUAAGUUCCCCGCCUGGGGAGUACGGCCGCAAGGCUAAAACUCAAAGGAAUUGACGGGGACCCGCACAAGCGGCGGAGCAUGCGGAUUAAUUCGAUGCAACGCGAAGAACCUUACCAAGGCUUGACAUACACCAGAACACCGUAGAAAUACGGGACUCUUUGGACACUGGUGAACAGGUGGUGCAUGGUUGUCGUCAGCUCGUGUCGUGAGAUGUGGGGUAAAGUCCCGCAACGAGCGCAACCCUCGUUCUAUGUUGCCAGCA